UACGUAGGGUGCGAGCGUUGUCCGGAAUUACUGGGCGUAAAGAGCUUGUAGGUGGUUUGUCGCGUUGUUCGUGAAAUCUCACGGCUCAACUGUGAGCGUGCGGGCGAUACGGGCAGACUAGAGUACUGCAGGGGAGACUGGAAUUCCUGGUGUAGCGGUGGAAUGCGCAGAUAUCAGGAGGAACACCGGUGGCGAAGGCGGGUCUCUGGGCAGUAACUGACGCUGAGAAGCGAAAGCGUGGGGAGCGAACAGG
This 253-nucleotide ribosomal RNA is filed under the name uncultured bacterium. RNAcentral describes it as "partial 16S ribosomal RNA". It matches the Rfam family "Bacterial small subunit ribosomal RNA", at positions 524 to 776 of the family's 1533-position model. The record is from RNAcentral.